UGGGGAAUAUUGGGCAAUGGGCGCAAGCCUGACCCAGCAACGCCGCGUGAAGGAAGAAGGUCUUCGGAUUGUAAACUUUUGUCGCCAGGGACGAAAAAAGACGGUACCUGGUAAGAAAGCCCCGGCUAACUACGUGCCAGCAGCCGCGGUAAUACGUAGGGGGCAAGCGUUGUCCGGAAUUACUGGGCGUAAAGGGCGCGUAGGCGGCAUAUUAAGUUAGAUGUGAAAUCCCCGGGCUUAACCUGGGUGUUGCAUUUAAAACUGAUAAGCUUGAGUGCAGGAGAGGUAAGUGGAAUUCCUAGUGUAGCGGUGAAAUGCGUAGAUAUUAGGAGGAACAUCAGUGGCGAAGGCGACUUACUGGACUGUAACUGACGCUGAGGCGCGAAAGCGUGGGGAGCAAACA
RNAcentral lists this ribosomal RNA (403 nucleotides) under uncultured Eubacteriales bacterium. Its description in RNAcentral is "uncultured Clostridiales bacterium partial 16S ribosomal RNA". It matches the Rfam family "Bacterial small subunit ribosomal RNA", at positions 355 to 774 of the family's 1533-position model. Lineage: Bacteria; Bacillati; Bacillota; Clostridia; Eubacteriales. The record is from RNAcentral.